This 439-nucleotide ribosomal RNA is filed under the name uncultured bacterium. Its description in RNAcentral is "bacterial SSU rRNA". It matches the Rfam family "Bacterial small subunit ribosomal RNA", at positions 959 to 1397 of the family's 1533-position model. The record is from RNAcentral.
ACGCGUGGAACCUUACCAGGUCUUGACAUCCCGCUGACCGUCCUGGAGACAGGAUUUUCCCUUCGGGGACAGCGGUGACAGGUGGUGCAUGGUUGUCGUCAGCUCGUGUCGUGAGAUGUUGGGUUAAGUCCCGCAACGAGCGCAACCCUUGAUCUUAGUUGCCAGCAUUCAGUUGGGCACUCUAAGGUGACUGCCGGUGACAAACCGGAGGAAGGUGGGGAUGACGUCAAAUCAUCAUGCCCCUUAUGACCUGGGCUACACACGUGCUACAAUGGAUGGUACAAAGGGCAGCAAAGCGGUGACGCCUAGCAAAUCCCAUAAAACCAUUCUCAGUUCGGAUUGUAGGCUGCAACUCGCCUACAUGAAGCCGGAAUCGCUAGUAAUCGCGGAUCAGCAUGCCGCGGUGAAUACGUUCCCGGGCCUUGCACACACCGCCCGU